UACGUAGGGUCCGAGCGCUGUCCGGAAUUAUUGGGCGUAAAGCGCGCGCAGGCGGUUCCUUAAGUCUGAUGUGAAAGCCCACAGCUCAACUGUGGAGGGCCAUUGGAAACUGGGGAACUUGAGUACAGAAGAGGAGAGCGGAAUUCCACGUGUAGCGGUGAAAUGCGUAGACAUGUGGAGGAACACCAGUGGCGAAGGCGGCUCUCUGGUCUGUAACUGACGCUGAGGCGCGAAAGCGUGGGUAGCAAACAGG
RNAcentral lists this unclassified non-coding RNA (253 nucleotides) under uncultured Bacillaceae bacterium. RNAcentral's name for it is "contains 16S-23S intergenic spacer region". It matches the Rfam family "Bacterial small subunit ribosomal RNA", at positions 524 to 776 of the family's 1533-position model. Lineage: Bacteria; Bacillati; Bacillota; Bacilli; Caryophanales; Bacillaceae. The record is from RNAcentral.